UACGGAGGGUGCAAGCGUUAUCCGGAUUCACUGGGUUUAAAGGGUGCGUAGGCGGGCAGGUAAGUCCGUGGUGAAAUCUCGGAGCUUAACUCCGAAACUGCAUUCGAUACUGCCGUGCUUGAGGACUGGAGAGGAGACUGGAAUUUACGGUGUAGCGGUGAAAUGCGUAGAUAUCGUAAGGAAGACCAGUGGCGAAGGCGGGUCUCUGGACAGUUCCUGACGCUGAGGCACGAAGGUCAGGGGAGCAAACGGG
This 253-nucleotide ribosomal RNA is filed under the name uncultured bacterium. RNAcentral's name for it is "partial 16S ribosomal RNA". It matches the Rfam family "Bacterial small subunit ribosomal RNA", at positions 524 to 776 of the family's 1533-position model. The record is from RNAcentral.